RNAcentral lists this ribosomal RNA (512 nucleotides) under uncultured bacterium. Its description in RNAcentral is "partial 16S ribosomal RNA". It matches the Rfam family "Bacterial small subunit ribosomal RNA", at positions 355 to 885 of the family's 1533-position model. The record is from RNAcentral.
UGGGGAAUAUUGGACAAUGGGCGCAAGCCUGAUCCAGCAAUGCCGCGUGAGUGAUGAAGGCCUUAGGGUUGUAAAGCUCUUUCGCACGCGACGAUGAUGACGGUAGCGUGAGAAGAAGCCCCGGCUAACUUCGUGCCAGCAGCCGCGGUAAUACGAAGGGGGCUAGCGUUGUUCGGAAUUACUGGGCGUAAAGGGCGCGUAGGCGGCCUGUUUAGUCAGAAGUGAAAGCCCCGGGCUCAACCUGGGAAUAGCUUUUGAUACUGGCAGGCUUGAGUUCCGGAGAGGAUGGUGGAAUUCCCAGUGUAGAGGUGAAAUUCGUAGAUAUUGGGAAGAACACCGGUGGCGAAGGCGGCCAUCUGGACGGACACUGACGCUGAGGCGCGAAAGCGUGGGGAGCAAACAGGAUUAGAUACCCUGGUAGUCCACGCCGUAAACGAUGAGUGCUAGACGUCGGGGUGCAUGCACUUCGGUGUCGCCGCUAACGCGUUAAGCAUUCCGCCUGGGGAGUACGG